CUCUACAUGUGACUCUUGUUACUUCUAAGAGUGAGAAAAUCUAACCCGUAUAUGCGGGUAACUCAGGUGUGAAUGACAUGAGAUUUUUUGACUAGAGUGCAUGGGCCAGAGUGUGGUUCAGUGAGUAGGAUGCUGAUUUUGGAAGGUCGCUGGUUCAAAUCAUGAGGAUAGUAGAGUGAUUUCACCACUCUUGUGCAAGGCCCUUAUUCCCAGUUACUCUAGGGCCUGGGUGCUUUCUCAAAUAUAUGUUGCUUUGGACUGUCUGCUGAAUAAUUAAAAAUGCAUGUGUAUAUUACACCUUCAAUGACCUGACUGACAACAUGUCCCCUGGUCAUUCUCCUGCAGAACUGCUGACUGACAACAUUGACGUCGCCAUCACAUGUGCCAAGCGUGUGGUCAGCGACCCCAAAGGGAUGGCAGCCUGGGUGGCCUGGCGGAAUCGCUGCCAGAGGCGCGACCUGAGGCAGUACACUGCAGGCUGUGGGGUCUGAAUCAAACGCCCAGGAGCCAGAACAUGCCCGGCGUGGGGCUCCUUGCUGAAACUGAAGCUGAAUAUUUUCUUCAAACCACUUGUGGGGCCACUGCAUGAAAAUGAUCAGACUUUCUUAAACAUAUUUAAAGAGUCACUGUCACUUUGAGUAAUGACAUAUCAAUAAAGGGUGAAGUUAACAUGUUUACCCAGUGGAUGGCAGUAAUAGGCCAUGGUGUGUGUAACCUAGCAACGGCAAUCAAGAAUACAUGAAUGAUUCAUCACAUGGUGAAGUAUGGCUUAUCAAAGAUGUUUUUUUAAAUGGUGCUUGCCAACCUAUGAUCUUGCCUUCUCACUGCUUUCUAAUACUUUAUUUUUUUUUCCAAAAAUACAUUAAAAAAAUGUUAAUCUUACUGGA
This is a non-coding RNA of Paramormyrops kingsleyae, 887 nucleotides long. NCBI's taxonomy places the organism in Eukaryota, Metazoa, Chordata, Actinopteri, Osteoglossiformes, Mormyridae. The record is from RefSeq and is a predicted model, not a curated record.